GUCGUAUCCAUGGUUGGACAUGUAGCGAGCAAAUGAGGACUCUGGAGAAAGGUCAUAUCCAAGAGCAUUGCUUCCAAUCCCUGAUAACAGCAACAGCGGAUGAUUCCUUGAUGGCGCCCGAAGAGAAGGCAAGUAACGCCAGAGCGCAAGUUUCCAAUCAGAGUUAGGAACAGAGACGUAAUGAAGCUCGUCGGCAGUACAGAUCAAACCCUUCUCCUUAUUGACAUUCAAUCCAGACGCCCCGCCGUAAAAUGCCCUGAAGGACUUCACGCCGACCACAUUCCGUCGGCGUAAGGCCCACGAGGGUUCUGAUUUCUGUUGUCCCCAGAAUCGGUGGAGUUGACGACGGCGGUUUUCGCUCCGGCUGAACGAAGAGAGAUCGAAA
Molecule: unclassified non-coding RNA, 385 nt
Filed under: Hevea brasiliensis (rubber tree)
Lineage: Eukaryota; Viridiplantae; Streptophyta; Magnoliopsida; Malpighiales; Euphorbiaceae
Source: RNAcentral